Molecule: long non-coding RNA, 525 nt
Filed under: Solanum tuberosum (potato)
Lineage: Eukaryota; Viridiplantae; Streptophyta; Magnoliopsida; Solanales; Solanaceae
Description: long non-coding RNA (STUB_LNC003775)
Source: RNAcentral
GUGAAAGGGGUGUUAGAGUGGGUUAGAGUCCUACAUUAGUUGGAGAAUCGAUUGGUGGUCUACUUAUAUGGACUUGGGCAAUCCUUCCCCUAUGAGCUAACUUUUGGGGUUGAGACAGACCAUAAGUGUCAUAUUUUUACAAAGGAUAAUGUCAUUUAUCUCAAUCACAAGUGUAUAUUCUUGCUUAGUUUUUGGUGCCACAAAGCUAUGGCGGUUGUUUAGAGCCGGAUGUUAUUGUGGACUUUUUUGCUCUCUACACAUUGUGAAGUUUAUUUUGGAUGUAAUUCUGCUCCAGCAUUCCCUUAAGGUUGGUAGCUUUCUCGCAUCAAUAAUGUCGCUUUAUUAUUUAUCAGGAAAAUACCAAUAUCCGGUUCCUUGUAUGGUUUGGGAACAGUAUUCAGAAAACUAGUAUAUGUGGUUCUUCCUAAAAAAAAGAAGAAGCUAGUAUAUGUGGUUGGUUGUUGAGUAUGACAACUGUGAUGAGGCAUGUGUUUUUGUAGGGAGUGAAGUUACUACCUAACCGAC